This 253-nucleotide ribosomal RNA is filed under the name uncultured bacterium. RNAcentral describes it as "partial 16S ribosomal RNA". It matches the Rfam family "Bacterial small subunit ribosomal RNA", at positions 524 to 776 of the family's 1533-position model. The record is from RNAcentral.
UACGUAGGGUGCAAGCGUUAAUCGGAAUUACUGGGCGUAAAGCGUGCGCAGGCGGUUCUAUAAGACAGAUGUGAAAUCCCCGGGCUCAACCUGGGAACUGCAUUUGUGACUGUAGAGCUGGAGUGCGGCAGAGGGGGAUGGAAUUCCGCGUGUAGCAGUGAAAUGCGUAGAUAUGCGGAGGAGCACCGAUGGCGAAGGCAAUCCCCUGGGCCUGCACUGACGCUCAUGCACGAAAGCGUGGGGAGCAAACAGG